RNAcentral lists this ribosomal RNA (494 nucleotides) under uncultured bacterium. RNAcentral's name for it is "partial 16S ribosomal RNA". It matches the Rfam family "Bacterial small subunit ribosomal RNA", at positions 28 to 507 of the family's 1533-position model. The record is from RNAcentral.
GACGAACGCUGGCGGCGUGCUUAACACAUGCAAGUCGAACGGUGAAGCGCCUUCCUUUUUGGUGGGUGUGGAUGAGUGGCGAACGGGUGAGUAACACGUGAGUAACCUGCCCCCUUCUUCUGGAUAACCGCAUGAAAGUGUGGCUAAUACGGGAUAUUCUGGGUCUGUCGCAUGAUGGGUCUGGGAAAGAUAUUGUUUCGGUGGGGGAUGGGCUCGCGGCCUAUCAGCUUGUUGGUGGGGUGAUGGCCUACCAAGGCGGUGACGGGUAGCCGGCCUGAGAGGGUGGACGGUCACACUGGGACUGAGACACGGCCAAGACUCCUACGGGAGGCAGCAGUGGGGAAUAUUGCACAAUGGGCGCAAGCCUGAUGCAGCGACGCCGCGUGAGGGAUGGAGGCCGUCGGGUUGUGAACCUCUUUCGCCAGUGAAGCAGGCCUGCCUCGUUUGUGGGUGGGUUGACGGUAGCUGGAUAAGAAGCGCCGGCUAACUACGUG